RNAcentral lists this ribosomal RNA (749 nucleotides) under Parahaemophilus parainfluenzae. RNAcentral describes it as "Haemophilus parainfluenzae bacterial SSU rRNA". It matches the Rfam family "Bacterial small subunit ribosomal RNA", at positions 28 to 764 of the family's 1533-position model. The record is from RNAcentral. Lineage: Bacteria; Pseudomonadati; Pseudomonadota; Gammaproteobacteria; Pasteurellales; Pasteurellaceae.
AUUGAACGCUGGCGGCAGGCUUAACACAUGCAAGUCGAACGGUAACAUAAAGAAGCUUGCUUCUUUGAUGACGAGUGGCGGACGGGUGAGUAAUGCUUGGGAAUCUAGCUUAUGGAGGGGGAUAACUACGGGAAACUGUAGCUAAUACCGCGUAAUAUCGAGAGAUUAAAGUGUGGGACCUUCGGGCCACAUGCCAUAGGAUGAGCCCAAGUGGGAUUAGGUAGUUGGUGAGGUAAAGGCUCACCAAGCCGACGAUCUCUAGCUGGUCUGAGAGGAUGACCAGCCACACUGGGACUGAGACACGGCCCAGACUCCUACGGGAGGCAGCAGUGGGGAAUAUUGCGCAAUGGGGGCAACCCUGACGCAGCCAUGCCGCGUGAAUGAAGAAGGCCUUCGGGUUGUAAAGUUCUUUCGGUAGUGAGGAAGGCAUUUAGUUUAAUAGACUAGGUGAUUGACGUUAACUACAGAAGAAGCACCGGCUAACUCCGUGCCAGCAGCCGCGGUAAUACGGAGGGUGCGAGCGUUAAUCGGAAUAACUGGGCGUAAAGGGCACGCAGGCGGUGACUUAAGUGAGGUGUGAAAGCCCCGGGCUUAACCUGGGAAUUGCAUUUCAUACUGGGUCGCUAGAGUACUUUAGGGAGGGGUAGAAUUCCACGUGUAGCGGUGAAAUGCGUAGAGAUGUGGAGGAAUACCGAAUGUGAACGCAGUCCCCUUGGGAAUGUUCUGUCGCUCAUGCGCCAAUAGCUCCC